GCAAGUCGUACGAGAACGCUUCAGCUUGCUGAAGUUAGUAAAGUGGCGCACGGGUGAGUAACGCGUGGGUAAUCUACCCCCGAAUUGGGGAUAACAUCGCGAAAGCGAUGCUAAUACCGAAUGAUAUCUUGAAAACUCUGUUUUCUGGAUCAAAGAUGGCCUCUACAUGUAAGCUAUUGUUUGGGGAUUAGCCCGCGUACCAUUAGCUUGUUGGUGGGGUAAUGGCCUACCAAGACGAUGAUGCAUAGCCGACCUGAGAGGGUGAUC
RNAcentral lists this ribosomal RNA (267 nucleotides) under uncultured bacterium. Its description in RNAcentral is "partial 16S ribosomal RNA". It matches the Rfam family "Bacterial small subunit ribosomal RNA", at positions 57 to 305 of the family's 1533-position model. The record is from RNAcentral.